Molecule: unclassified non-coding RNA, 333 nt
Filed under: Hevea brasiliensis (rubber tree)
Lineage: Eukaryota; Viridiplantae; Streptophyta; Magnoliopsida; Malpighiales; Euphorbiaceae
Source: RNAcentral
UAAAAACUCUUUAAAUUUCUUAAUCCUAUAAUAAUUAAAAUUCCUAAAUGAAAUUCUAAACUUCCCAUUCUGCAUUACAUUUAUUUGCAAAUUAUCUAAAAUUUGAUGUUGAAAUUUUAAUUCUAAAUCCCCAACCCUUUUCCUAGUUCCCCCUCUCCACGUGCUAAGUUUGAUGGUUCUUUAUGCUUUGCAUCUAAAUUACAGAGUAUUUUUUUUUCCCAUAGAUUGCAUUGGCUUUUGGGUAACGCUAGCCUGCCCUGGUUUUUUUUCUGAUUCAAUAUUUUUUCCCAUUUUUCGUUAUGAUGUUUUGUUCUCCCAGCCUAUGGAAAUUUA